This 220-nucleotide microRNA precursor is filed under the name Drosophila guanche. The record is from RNAcentral. Lineage: Eukaryota; Metazoa; Arthropoda; Insecta; Diptera; Drosophilidae.
ACUAAUUUGUUCUCUCUCUCUCUCUCUCUCUCUCUCUCUCUCUCUCUCACUUUUUUUCUCUGUGCAAAUUAGUUUUAGAUUUUUUUAAAAGCCAAAUUUUGAUUUUUAGCUGUUUUCCAGACAAAAACAUUACACGUGACUUGAAAAGAGGAUGGGCUUAAAAGAAAUGGGAGAGAGAGAGAGAGAGAGAGAGAGAGAAAGAGAGAGAGGGAGGGAGAGA